GUGCCUUGUUAGAUCACCUCUAUUUCUAGCUCGCUGAGUAAAAAGAGCAUUUUUUACAGCCUAGUUUGAUAAGUAAAAGGUAUCUUUCUCACCUGCUUGCACUCUGAAUUGUCACUAUCGUGCUUUGUUCCUUUGCAUGCGGCUGUUGUCAGCUUCCGAGUCACAGAACCACUUGCAGGAACGGCUCGGGAGAGUUUUGGAAGAAAGGAGAGGGAAAAAAGGAGCUGCAUUUUUAUUUAACAGAAGAAGGAGAACAUAAAGAAAAGAAAGGUGUUCUCAAGAAUGUAGCCCGCAGCCUUGUCAGGUAGCAUUUCUUCAGAUGUUUUUUUUUUCUCCCCUUUCCCACCCCAAGAUCUCUCUUCAUCAUUUUUUUAAACAUCUCUUCUGGGACAGGGACAUGAAAGUGAAUUGUUGGUCAAAGUCAAGAAUUAGGGGUUGCCGGGGCUGCUUUCUGAUGGCUUUACUUUAUCUUUGUGUCCAAGCUUUUGCCAGUCAGCAGGUACCGCGGGUUAUCCAUUCCAGUCACAUCAUUUUCUGCUUGAUGACAAGCAUCACACCUUCAUCCAUCACAUUUACAUUUCAAACUGCCACACUGCUCUAUUGAUUAAUUAUUUAGCAGCUCUUGGCCACUUGCGAGUGUUUCUGUGCUCACGUUUCACUGAGAAGGUCCGUUCUUUUUAUUUGUGUACUGUUUUGUAAAGCAGAAAAAAUAUGUAAUGCCUUUAGCACACCCACCCGCGUGCAUGUAUGCUAAUAUAUACGACACGGCAAUAUAUAUGCAUAUGUGUGUGCAUGUUUAUGCGUGCGUAUGUGCGUGCAUCGGUACAAUUAAGUAUACACAAGGAGUGAGAGCAGGUAAUCUGAUCAAUAAGCACAUGCUCACACUGAUAAUAGGUUUCUGAGUUGUCAGAGACCUGAACAGACGAUCAAUGAGACCUUGCAGGUGUGCUGGAGCCGGGAAUUGGAUCAGCUACAUCCCUGCAGACCAGUGGGAAACUUGCACAUCAUCCUCUGGGCUCUGUCACUCAGAACAAAAAAGGCUGAAAGUCUUUUGCAGGUGCUUGAUAAUGUUUAUGUUUCUUUCACAUCACAGGCAGGAAAAGGGCAGCCUCUACACAAGAGCCAAGGAGAUCUGGUUCCAUCUAGGCCUCCAUUAUCCCAGGCAAAUCACUUCAUCUUUCUUUUCCUCCGUUCUCUUUUGGUGAAAUGGAAAUCCUGUGGCAUCUGGAAAAUAAAUCCACUACUCUGAUGGGAAAGCUGGCUACCCAAAGCACAGAGCAUUUAAAAGCAAAAUACUUCAGUGUCUUCAAGCACGAGACCUCCCACAAGCUCACAGUGAAGUGCACCUCCUAGCCGCUAAUGCAGCUGCAUUUCAGCAUUCUAAUAGGUAUCAGAUGAACGCUGAAGUUGAAAACAACGCAGCCACAUUCUGCCACAUCCUCAAGAAACCAAACAGCACUUCGUUGAUAGCAAUUGGAGAAUGGUCUAAAUGCAGUAGCCUCAGGAACAACGAGCUACAUGAGAACGAAGUUUAGGAAACUCCAAGUGAACAGUCUACAUAAAACAGUGACAAGAACACCUCUGAAUAUUAUUGAAUGAAAAAUCAAUUCCCACAGAAUCCUUUACCAUAAAAAAUCACUACAUCACAAAUCUUGUCAAAUUAUUCUUAAAGUUUAAUUCAGCACUUCUGUGAAAGUGAUUCAAUUGAUGGCGGCAGAGGGGCAGUCUGACACAAUAGCUUGUGACAUAGAAGUGUGGAUGAAGUGAAGGUUUACCACUGAAUUCCUCCAUGAGGAAAAAAUGGCACCAAUGAUAUUCACUGACACUUGCUGAAUGCUUAUGGACACCAAACAGUGGAUGUGAGCACAAUGAGGAGGUGAGUGGUGCAUUUCAGCAAUGGUGAUGGUGAUGUGAAAGACAAGGCAUGUUCUGGAUGGCCAUGCG
Gallus gallus (chicken) is the source of this 1944-nucleotide long non-coding RNA. The record is from Ensembl. NCBI's taxonomy places the organism in Eukaryota, Metazoa, Chordata, Aves, Galliformes, Phasianidae.